AGGUGUAGUGGCGUGUGCCUGUAAUCCCAGCUACUCAGGAGGCUGAGGCAGGAGAAUCACUUAAACCUGAGAGGCAGAGGCUGCAGUGAGCCGAGAUUGCACCACUGCACUCCAGGCUGGGCAACAGAGUGAGACUCUGUCUCUCAUAAAGAAAAAAAAUGGCAUAUGAAACAUGAAUUUUAAGUAAAAAAUUACACAGGAUGUGUUACUGUACUGGAAACUAACUUUGGAAAAUAGGAGUAGAUUUCCUGCACCUUAUAUCAACUCCUUCUGUGAUAGAAAUGAAACCCACUCUAAUGAUCCCAAGCAUAUCUGUGAAGUCUUACAAGGGGUCAGACUGGCAGCACCAUCCACAGGGACAUUACCUCUAAGGAUCAUAUAUCAAGAGCCAGAUCCCAAUCAGGAAAUUUCUUCCACCAUUGUCAGUACAAAGGGCACUCAGCAAGCAUCUUUUCCAAAUGGACAUCUACCCAGAAGUAUCCACAUAACCCAAUCAUCAAUACUCAGAAACAAGAAGAUAUUAGAACUGUUCUUUCUUGCAGGGGUAAAAAUAAGGAGGAUUAGGAAGAUGAAGCCAUGGCAAUGAACGAUAAGUAGCACAAACCUUACCUAAUCUCUGUCUCAUUUAACUGGGUAAACAGCAGCUCUGACACAAUUAUAUGCCCCCAGAUGCUGCUGUGACAUUACUAGGUUACAGUGAACACAGUAUCAGCUGAUGCCAUUGGAAUAAACAUGCAGAUUUCCAAAACCAAAGUGUUUGCAUGUAAUAUAUAUUUCAUGUUCUUGUCACCUCAAGCCUGUCUUGAAGCUGAUUUCAUGCAGCAUCCUCUAGACUUGAAGGAACAUCACUCCACAUUUCAAAGAGUAACAGCAUGUAUUUUUACAAUUUACUCCUUAGCAGGGGGGAAUUAGAGCAUUAACUGUAGGAAAUUUUUCUCUUGUACAAUAAACCGAAAGCUUUGUAACCAUAAAAUGACAAUUUUCAUUAAAAAGCACGCUUACUUUUGGUAUUGCCAGUUACGUAAAGGAUAAAUGUCUUCGGGCAAAAGGACACGUGGCCAUAACCUUUUCCUGACAAGUCUGUCUCCGGUUUUCUCCAAGCAAUGUCAGAUUUUAUAUUUUUCCAAAAGAAACAAACGGGAAUGCCUCAUGAAUUGUUCCUGUGGAUUUUUAGUUCAAUACUACAUGACACUUGUAUAUUAGGCUCCUAAAUACUGUGCAACACGGCAACAGUGAUGAGAAUCACUACUCUUAGACCACACUUGAAUUAGUGUCUCUUCCAUCCACCCACGUUUUUUGGCUCUUCUUCCUCUGAUCUCCCCUGCCUUGAGGCUCAGCACUCCCCCUAACACCCUAGUGGUUCUCAACCUGGGCAAUUAUGCCCCCAGGAGACAUUUUUGGUUGUUGCAACUAGGGGAUGCCACUGGCAUGUAGUGGGUAGAGGCUAGGGAUUCUGCUAAACAUCCUACAAGGCACAGGACAGCCCCCCAAAACAAAAAUGAUCUAGCUCCACAUGCCAAUAGUACUGUGGCUGAGAAAACCUGCAAUAUGCUAACCAAACCACUUUUAAUUAAAAGGAGAAAAAAGCCUUUUCAAGAUCUUACAACGGCUCUUAUUAGAUUAUAAAUUGUAACCUCCUCAGCCUUACUUUCAACACCUUUCCCAAUCCAUUUCUAACCUACCUGUCACCUGAACUGAGCAAACCUAUGCUGAGCUCCCCCAUGUGCAGGAGGUGCAAAGCUACUGAAAGACGAAGAGGGGUUGGUGCUUUCCAGAAGCCCAUUCACGGGUGCAGGAGACGGAGAAACUGGAGCAUGUGGCUAGCACCCAGCAGGUAUCAGGAAUGGUCUUUCCUUUCUUCCUAAUUAGCUCUAAUUCCAGGCUGACUGUGAUGGGUGGAUAAAGAGUGGUGGAUCUUAGUGUUUUCCCCACAUCGUAAUCUGUGCUCUUGUUUGUCUUUUAAUCUAUUAGGAAAAUUUGAAAGACUAGGUUUUUUUCUAUUUGACAUAGAUCUACCUUUCUUUCUUUCCUUCCUUCCUUCUUUCCUUCCUUCCUUCCUUCCCUCUUUUUUUUUUUUUUUUUUUUUUUGAGACGGAGUUUCGCUGUUGUCGCCCAGGCUGGAGUGCAAUGGUACGAUCUCGGCUCACCGCAACCUCCGCCUCCCAGGUCCAAGGGAUUCUCCUGCCUCAGCCUCCUGAGUAGCUGGGAUUACAGGCAUGCACCACUACAUCCAGCUAAUUUUGUAUUUUUAGUAGAGAUGGGGUUUCUCCAUGUUGGUCAGGCUGGUCUCGAACUCCCGACCUCAGGUGAUCUGCCCACCUCGGCCUCCCAAAGUGCUGGGAUUACAGGCACGAGCCACCAUGCCUGGGCUUCUUUCCUCUUUCUUUUUAAGAAACAUGGUCUUUCGCCUGUAAUCCUAGCACUCUGGGAGGCUGAGGCGGGAGGAUCACCUGAGGUCGAGAGUUCAAGACCAACCUGAUCAACAUGGAGAAACCCCGUCUCUACUGAAAAUA
This 2513-nucleotide long non-coding RNA is filed under the name Homo sapiens (human). RNAcentral's name for it is "HSALNT0161284". Lineage: Eukaryota; Metazoa; Chordata; Mammalia; Primates; Hominidae. The record is from RNAcentral.